CCUACGGGAGGCAGCAGUAAGGAAUAUUGGUCAAUGGAGGCAACUCUGAACCAGCCAUGCCGCGUGCAGGAUGACGGCCCUAUGGGUUGUAAACUGCUUUUAUACAAGAGAAAACCCUGGUACGUGUACCAGGUUGAUAGUAUUGUAAGAAUAAGCAUCGGCUAACUUCGUGCCAGCAGCCGCGGUAAGACGAAGGAUGCAAGCGUUAUCCGGAUUCAUUGGGUUUAAAGGGUGCGUAGGCGGACUGAUAAGUCAGUGGUGAAAUCUCUUUGCUUAACAAAGAAACUGCCAUUGAUACUGUCGGUCUAGAGUAUAGAUGACGUUGGCGGAAUAUGACAUGUAGUGGUGAAAUACUUAGAUAUGUCAUAGAACACCGAUUGCGAAGGCAGCUAACGAAACUAUAACUGACGCUGAGGCACGAAAGUGCGGGGAUCAAACAGGAUUAGAUACCCUGGUAGUCCGCACCGUAAACGAUGAUUACUCGUUGUUGGCGAUAUGACAGUCAGCGACCAAGCGAAAGCGAUAAGUAAUCCACCUGGGGAGUACGCCGGCGACGGUGAAACGUCGAAAGGAUUAGACGG
Molecule: ribosomal RNA, 581 nt
Filed under: uncultured bacterium
Lineage: Bacteria
Description: bacterial SSU rRNA
Rfam family: Bacterial small subunit ribosomal RNA
Source: RNAcentral